This 449-nucleotide ribosomal RNA is filed under the name uncultured prokaryote. RNAcentral describes it as "bacterial SSU rRNA". It matches the Rfam family "Bacterial small subunit ribosomal RNA", at positions 355 to 796 of the family's 1533-position model. The record is from RNAcentral.
UGGGGAAUAUUGGACAAUGGGCGCAAGCCUGAUCCAGCCAUGCCGCGUGUGUGAAGAAGGCCUUCGGGUUGUAAAGCACUUUCAGGAGUGAAGAAAAGCGCUGGGUGAACAAUCCGGCGUCUUGACGUCAGCUCCAGAAGAAGCACCGGCUAACUCCGUGCCAGCAGCCGCGGUAAUACGGAGGGUGCGAACGUUAAUCGGAAUUACUGGGCGUAAAGCGCGCGUAGGCGGUUCGUCAAGUCAGGUGUGAAAGCCCCGGGCUCAACCUGGGAAUUGCAUUUGAAACUGGCGGGCUAGAGUGCAGUAGAGGGAGGUGGAAUUCCGGGUGUAGCGGUGAAAUGCGUAGAUAUCCGGAGGAACACCAGUGGCGAAGGCGGCCUCCUGGACUGACACUGACGCUGAGGCGCGAAAGCGUGGGGAGCAAACAGGAUUAGAUACCCCCGUAGUCC